UAAGAUUCUAGAGAAGUAUUCCACAUCAAGUAACAUAGACCGAUGUGAAAUGAAACAUGGUUGUCAUUUUUGUUUCUUCUGUUAUGUCAUACAUCGUGUUCACCACCGGUCGUUCACGACAUCAUUCCUCUCCCCCUUCAUUAUCUCUUACUAUGGCAGAAAAUACAAGACGGACUCGAAAAGGUACUUACAAUUUUUGUUUUCAAAUUCGUUGAUAUCUUGAAGCUUGCAUUAUUUGUUCUUAAUGUGUUUUAUUCGGCUCUGGUAAAUCUUAGGAUCCAAUUUCCAUAACUUCAGGUAUUCUCUAAGAUCCAAUUUCUAAAGCUUUAUAGGUUUGAAGUUAUGAUGAUUUUGUUGGUUAUUUAUAUUUUUUGGACUACAUUUUUUUUUCCUUUUCCAAUUUUUUUUAGUGGUUAGGUUUUUCGAAUGUUGAUUUUUGGAGUUUAUGUCAAUUUUGAAAUUUCAAUUUUUUUAUUUAUUUUACCUUGAAAUUGUGACGACAGUUUUAUUCAAUCCAUAAUUGACAACAUUAACGAAUAAUUGAAACUUGUAUUUUCGUUCAUAUUUCUAACAAAUUGUUUAUAUUCAUGUAUUUUUUUUAUAUUGAAACAUAUAGUUAGAAGUAGACCAAUAUCUAUUCUUUAUAUUAUUCAUUUGAUAAUUGAUUAUCUUUAUUUAUCAAACUCAAAACACUACAAAGGUUGAUUUUUCUUUAGUGCAUUUUAGGUCAAUGGAACAAAACACCUCUUUAUGUGGCUCUAACCUACAUGUUGUUGACAUGUUAUAUUGUUCUCCUUUUCUAUGUUUUGAGUUUUGUGCUUUAAUUAUGAAUCAACUUCAUUAAAUAUAGUUAUGUGAAUUAUUGAUGAGUGCCUUUUGUAGGACGUAUUUAUGGAUCAUAGUUGGAUGAGUGCUGAUAGAUUAAGUGAUGACUAUGAAAAUGUAGUGACAAAAUUCUUACAAUUUUCUAAAAGAAAUCUUUCAAAAAAUAAUACAAUUUUUCAAUGUCGUUGUGUAAAUUGUUCAAAUCAUAUACUACAACGAGUUGAUGACAUAAGAAAUCAUCUAAAUUAUGAAGGGAUUUACAAAAAUUAUACAAGAUGGACAUGUCAUGGUGAAAUUGUACCACCUCCAAAUGUGUCCCAAAGAGAGGAAGUUAGUGUAGAUAUGGAUGAUUGACUAUAAGAUAUGAUCCAUGCUAAUGGAUAAGAUUCUUUUAAGAGAGCACAUGUGUAUGAUAUUUUAUGUAGUGACAACGAAGAACCUUUGUAUUCGGGAUACAAAAAAUUUACAUGGUUGUCAACAUUGUUAAUAUUUUUUAAUUUGAAGGCAAAAAAGGUGGACUGAUAAAAGUUCAACUAAAUUGCUUGAAUUGUUGAAAGAUAUACUUCUAGAAGGUAACACAUUUUUAAACCGUAAUUACGAGAUCAAAAAGAUAUUGUGUCCGAUGGGUAUGGAUUAUAAGAAAAAACAUGGAUACCCCAAUGAUUGCAUAUUAUAUAGAAGAGAAUUUUAAAAUUUUACGCAUGCUACAAAGUGAAGGAUGGUGAAUCUUAUGAUGCUGGGAGCAUAAAAGGUCCUCUUGCAAAGGUGUUACGGUAGCUACCAAAAAUUCCAAUGUUCAACUUGUUCCUUAUUGUAAAUGAUGCCAAAAAAAAUAAAAAUAGAUGAAAUGCAUAAUAGAGAAAAUGUGAUGGACAUCUUCGCCAUCCACUUGAUUAUUUGCAAUGGAAGAAAAUGAAUUCUUUGUUUCCAUAUUUUGGCAGUGAGUCAAGAAAUCUUAUGCAUGGACUUGCUACUGAUGGAAUGAAUUCAUAUGAUAAUUUAAGUAGGGAUCAUAGUUCAUUGCCUAUUCUGCUUAUAAUUUACAACCUAUCUCAUUGGUUGUACAUGAAACACAAAUAUAUAAUAUUAUCUAUACUAAUAUAUGGCCAAAACAACUAGGAAAUGACAUUAAUGUUUAUCUUAGUCCAUUGAUUGAAGAUUUAAGAUUUCUAUGAGAGGAAGUGUAAGACCCAUAAUUUUAAAGUAUACUUUAUGUAUUUUAGUGUAUUUUGGUAUUGAACUCGGAGGCUUUUUAGUCAAAGUUAUUAAUAUUUUGGAGUUUAUAUGACCAAAGAGAUAUUUUGAUGGCGAUUAGAAUUACUCGUCGAUGAAUAAAUUAAAUUAGCUGCGGUGAAUCUUUUACGAAGAAUUUAACGCGUUAUAGGUGAAAUGGUAAUUUUAAUAAAUAUCUAGAUAUUUUGAGAUAUUUGUUAAUUAUUAUUAAUAUAUAUAAUGAGUAUAUGUUUGGAGGGAAAGGAAAAAGGAAGGAAAAGAAGAAAGAAAGGAAAAGAAAGAGAAGAUAAGUAAAGGAAAGAAAAACAAAAGAAGGAAAAACUAGAAAUUCUUCCUGUCUCUCCCUGCCUCGCGACUCUCUCCCUUUUCUUCUUCUUUGGUUUUGUUUUCUUUGCUUCCUUUAAGUUCGAGAAUUGAAACCCAAGGCUAGUGGGUGAGAAAGAUCAAGUUCCCAACUCCUUCCUCCUUCUCGGAUUCAAAAACGGAGUUAGGGAUUUCAAAACCGUCAAACACAAACCUCCCCGUUUCAUCUAGAUCUAAGCUUCGUUUCGCGAAGCGAUAGAAGGGAAAGUUGCUCACUACCACGCUACGGUGCUAGUGAACUAAAUUUGAAAGCGACGUUGCGAGCGGAGAUUUUACCGGAUUUACUCGCGGUACCGUUACCGAACGUUAAAGCUAACGUGAAGGUAAGUGCUCCUUCCAAACUUCUAGUUUGAAUUUAGGGACUUAUCUGUGGUUGUGUGGAAAGGAUUUUGUUAGGGUUGAAGUGUUGAUUUUGGGGGAAAAUGAAUCUAAGGCUUUAUGGGUAAAAUCUUAGAGUUAAGUUUUGGUUAUAUUGAUGAAUGUUUCGUGGAAAAUGAAUUUAAACUCAUUUAUGUAUGAUUUUGAGUAAAUAAAACUUGUUGUGUUUGAGUGGUGGAUUGUGUUGAUUUGUGUUCGUCGUAUUUGACGUGUUCUUAAUUAAUACUGAUGAAAUUUGUUGUGUGUAUGGUUGGAUUCUGUGGAGAAAUGAAUUGAUGUGUUUUGGUGUGGAUCGUGGAUUGAAUUUGAUAAUAUGUUUGAGUUUGUUUUGUGUGGAAUUUGGAAACCAUUAGAGUUAAACGAGUAUUAAGAAUGAGGAAUCUCUUAAUGUCUACGUUUACUUAAUGUUGUCGUGAAAAUCGUUUAAGUUAAACGAGUAUUAAGAAUGGGGAAUCUCUUAAUGUCUUGUUUACUUAAUGUUUGUUUUGAAAAUCGUUUAAGUUAAAUGAGUAUUAAGAAGGGGGAAUCUCUUAAUGUCUUGUUUACAUAAUGUUCGUUUUGAAAAUCGUUUAAGUUAAAAGAGUAUUAAGAAUGGGGAAUCUCUUAAUAUUUCUGUUUACUUAAUGUUUGCUUUGAAAAUCGUUUAAGUUAAAUGAGUAUUAAGAAUGGGGAAUCUCUUAAUAUUUCUGUUUACUUAAUGUUUGCUUUGAAAAUCGUUUAAGUUAAAUGAGUAUUAAGAAUGGGGAAUCUCUUAAUAUUUCUGUUUACUUAAUGUUUGCUUUGAAAAUCGUUUAAGUUAAAUGAGUAUUAAGAAUGGGGAAUCUCUUAAUAUUUCUGUUUACUUAAUGUUUGCUUUGAAAAUCGUUUAAGUUAAAUGAGUAUUAAAAAUGGGGAAUCUUUUAAUAUCUGCAUUUGCUUAACGAUUGUUGUGGAUGGAGUCAGUGUAUGCUCAUGCAUUUCAUUUUGGUAAAUCGUGCUGACCCGUGAUAGGUGGCACCUCGGUAAAUAGUACUUUGGCCUGUGAUAGGUAGUACAUUUACGAUUUACGUUUUUGGUAAGUUGUGCUAACCCGUGAUAGGUGGCACCUCGGUAAAUAGUACUUUGGCCUGUGACAGGCGGUACGCUUACCAUUUACGCUUUUUCUUUUAGUAAAUCGUGCUGACCCGUGAUAGGUGGCACCUCGGUAAACAGUACUGACCCGUGAUAGGUGGUACUUUUACGAUUUACGCUUUUUAGUAAAUUGUGCUGACCCGUGAUAGGUGGCACCUCGGUAAUUGGUACUUUGGCCUGCGAUAGGCGGUACAAUUAUGAUUUACGGCCCUUCGAGGAGGGUUUUGGUUUGGAAUUCCGAGUCCGUGCAUUUUGGCAUAUACGCAUUGCAUUAGGGUGCUUGGCACACGAGUCGUGUUUUGAUUCAAGUUUAUGAUUGAGUGUUUUGAAUUUGAGUUGUCGUGGGAAUUGUGUUUGUCCGUGAGAGACUGCACAGGUGUGUGUCCGUGAGAGACUACACCCUGAUAAAUUGUGUUUGUCCGUGAGAGACUGCACAUGUGUUUGUCCGUGAGAGACUACACCCUGGUAAAUUGUGUUUAUCCGUGAGAGACUGCACAUGUGUUUGUCCGUCAGAGACUACACCCUGGUAAAUUGUGUUUGUCCGUGAGAGACUGCACAGGUGUUUGUCAGUGAGGUCCGUGAGAGACUGCACAGGUGUUUGUCCGUGAGAGACUACACCCUGGUAAAUUGUGUUUGUCCGUGAGAGACUGCACAAGUGUUUGUCCGUGAGAGACUACACCCUGGUAAAUUGUGUUUGUCCAUGAGAGACUGCACUCGUGUUAGUUCGUGAGAAACUGUGCGUUUAGGAUUUACGCCUCUCAUGGAGGGUUUUGUUUGGAAUUGUGUGAUAGCAUGUUUGAUUGCAAAACUAUUUCGAAGCUCAUGAUGUUGUAGUGAUUGUGUUAUAAGUGCUAAGUGUUAUGUUUUGUUUGGAAUUGUGUGAUAGCAUGUUUGAUUGCAAAACUAUUUCGAAGCUCAUGAUGUUGUAGUGAUUGUGUUAUAAGUGCUAAGUGUUAUGUUUUGUUUGGAAUUGUGUGAUAGCAUGUUUGAUUGCAAAACUAUUUCGAAGCUCAUGAUGUUGUAGUGAUUGUGUUAUAAGUGCUAAGUGUUAUGUUUUGUUUGGAAUUGUGUGAUAGCAUGUUUGAUUGCAAAACUAUUUCAAAGCUCAUGAUGUUGUAGUGAUUGUGUUGAAAUUGCUAAGUGUUAUGUAUUGAUUAUUGUGUGUAAGUAUGAUGGGUUGUAAAACUAUAUCGAAACUCAAUUUGUCGUGGUGAUCGUGUGGGAAUUGCUAAGUGUUACGAUGUGGAAUUGUGUAUGAAUGUGAUUGAGUUAGUUUAUGUAUUUUUGGAAGAAUAUGCAGGGAAAUCGAUUUCCCAAUCGAUUGGAUGAGUUAUAGGAACUUCCCUAAUUUGACAUAACCGAUUUGCCAAUCGAUUUUAUAAAAUGUUUUUCAAAACAAUUUAAGAAAAUUGAUUUGGAAAUCGAUUUGGCCAUACAGGAAUUCAGCAAAACUGACAAAAUCGUUUUGGAAAUUGAUUGACAUUAAGUCAGGGGCUCAGCUAUUCUGUCAAUCGAUUGAUUUAAUCCCAGAGUGUAGAUUUCACUAAAAACCUUCAGGAAAUCGAUUGGCUUAGUAGAAAUUCUUAUUUUGAGUUAGAUAACAGAUUGCUCAAUUGAUUUAUCAAUGUCUUGGUUAGUUAUGUAUUACUUGAUGGAUUGAGAACUUUAUUUUGAUUUCAUUUUUAAUUGGCAAGCAUUAUAUGAACUUUUCGCAUAUGGAAAAUCCUUUUAAGGUGCAUGCUAAGUUGAAAGGUUAUUUUGUGCAUUUAAAAACUUAAAUGUUAUGUAUUUAUUGUUAAUUUCGGUUGGUGACCCUUUACAACUAUUGUGGAAAUCUGGGCUUUGCCCUCAAAUGAGAGCCAGGACGAUCCUACCGGUUCGUACCCUACGGGUGGGAAUGUAGAUGGGAAUGCUUGACUGGAGCUAUGUUAGGAGGAUCUCACGGGGCGCGUGGAGAUCACUCACGGUGUAUAGCUAUAGUUUUUUUUGAAGAAUUAUCAGAUUAGGAUGACAUAGAGGGAACAAAUGUUUUUUGGAUUACGUUAUUUUGAACUGAAAAACUGUACCUUUACUAAUAUUGUCAGUAUGACAUGUUAUUUUCGUUGGGUUACAUGUACCACUUUUUGAUGUGUAAAUACUUUGGAUUCAUAUUUUGAGAAACUUUUCCGCUGCUUGUAAAUUAUAAUGACUCAAUUAUUUAUCCAAAGGUAUUUCCUUAUUUGUUUUCUCUGUUUUAUUUUAAUUUCUUUUGAAAAAAAAAUACACCAUCGCUUUGAAAAUCGGGGUGUUACAGGAAGGCGUUGAUGUUCUUGAUGUGUAUUCCCAUGAGUAUUUCAAGAUACGUGUCAUGUUGUUUUGCACAACCAAUGACUUUUUGAUAUAUAGUAAUUUGUGUGGAUAGAGUUAAGGGCUAUAAAGUGUGUCCUAUUUGUAAAGAAGAUACAUGUUAUAAUCAACUGAAACAUGGCAGGAAGACCAUGUAUCUUGGGCAUAAAAAAAUUCUAAGAAAACGAUCAUCCAUAUUGUAGAAUGUGAAAAGCUUUUAAUGGACAAUAUGAGAAUGGUGUCGCUCUGAAGCCCUUAGCUGAAGAGGAAGUAUAUUAGCACAAGAACACAUUAAUGUUAGCUUCGAAAGAACCAAAAGCAGGAUGCUGCGAAAAUUAUAUGGAAGAAGAAGUAGGUGUUCUUUGAUCUAUCAUAUUGGUCUAGCCUCGAUGUAAGACAUUAUAUUGAUGUGAUGCACGUUGAAAAAAAUGUGUGCAAUAAUGUAAUCAGAAAGCUACUCAAAAUUCAAGGCAAGAUAAAAUAUGGUAUAAAUGCUCAUUUAGAUUUGGCUGAGAUGGAUAUACGACAAUAGUUAGCUCCACAAAAAAUUGAUAAUCGAACAUAUUUACCUCUAGCAUGUCACACUUUAUUGAAAAAAGAGAAAAUAAGUUUUUGUAAGUGUUUGCAGGGUAUCAAAGUGUCGCAAGGUUAUUCAUAAAAUGUCAAGAGACUUGUAUCAAUGAAAAAUCUCAAAUUAAUUGGUUUAAAAUAUCAUGAUUGUCAUGUCUUGAAGCAACAACUAUUACUAGUGGAUAUUCUUGGCAUCUUGCCUAAAAAGGUUAGGCGAACUAUAACUAGAUUGUGCUUAUUCUUCAAUGCUAUAUGUAUUAAAGCCAUUGAUCCAAAAAAGUUCGAUGAGUUGGAAGUUGAGGCUGCAAUUAUAUUGUGUCAAUUGGAGAUAUAUUUCCUCCUUUAUUUUUUUGACAUUAUGGUUCACUUAAUUGUUCAUUUAGUGAAGAAGAUUAGAUUGUGCGGUCCUGUUUUAUUUCAGGUGGAUUUAUCUAGUACAAUGAUACAUGAAUAUCCUGAAAGGGUAUAUGAAGAAUCCACCCUGUCCAAAAGCAUUGAUUGUGGAAAGGUACGUUACAUAAGGAACCAUUGAGUUUUGUGAAGAUUAUAUGUUUGAAGUAGAUGUUAUAGGAAUUCGUAAGUCUAUUCAUGACAGAAGAUGUGAAGGUAAGGGUACACACAAGGUUUCAAUGUUAAGACCAUGAAUAAGGAUAUGAUUCUUCAAGCACAUUUGUAUAUUUUGAAUAACAAUAAUGAAGUUCAACCUUAUUUAUUUGCUCAAAAAUCAUUGUCUAGGAGAAAAACCCUCGGAUGAAUGAAAGAUCGUUGUUGAACGAGCAUAAUAGGAGUUUCUUAGAUUGGUUUAAUGAACGAAUUGAUAAUGAUGAUAGUGCUUUUGAAAAAAUUAAAUGGUUGGCAUAUGGGCGUAAGUACAACGUAAUAACUUGGAGAGCAUAUGAUAUCAAUAAAAUUUUCUCCUAUACAAAGUUAAAGAAUGACAAAAGUACCAUGCAAAAUAGCGGGGUUAUGGUUGUCGCUGAAUCUUUGGGCUUCUCUAGUUCCAAAGAUAUAAACCUAUAAUGGCGAAUACAUCGUAUGGAAGGGUCAUUGAAUAGAUUUGGGAGGUUGAUUAUGUUAAGUUUAAAGUGCAUGCAUUUAAAUACAAGUGGGUUGACAGUAAUAGCGAUGUUCAAAUGGAUGAAUUAGGAUUUACAAUGGUUGACUUAUAUGAACGAACCUUUCAUAAUGGUAUUGAAAGUAACACAAAUGUUUUAUGUCACUAAUCCUUCUAACAAUAGGUGGCUAGUGGUUCAUCAAGGAAAAAACAUGAAUGAUAAGUGAUGAAAAUCAAGAUUUAAUGUUUGAUAUUUAUGAUGCUUCAUUUUUCUCAACACAUGUGUUUACUUUAAUUGAAGAAAAUGAAGAGGGUGAUAUACCCUCUAUUCGUGAUAACCAUCAAGAAGGGAUAUGGUAUAACCAAUAAGUAAAUAUAUAUUUUUUAUUAUUUAUCUAUGAUUUAUACAUAAUAUUAUUGUGUUCAUAGAUAAAUGGAUGAUUCAUCUGAAUGAUACAUUCAAUGUCCUUUCUCUAAAUGACAGGUUGGUCAAUAAGGACAAACAAAGAAAGACUAGAUGUACCACAAUGAUGAAAUCUUUGGUCAAAGUUCGUGCAUUAGAUAUUAAGUUGCAAAUCCAUUUUGAUCCACUCACUUGCAAAUUUUUGGUGUAAAUUCAACCAAAUUUAGAAGUUAUGUGGCAUAAAUUUAGAAGUUAUGAGACCAUGUAACAUUAGAAAUGAAAUACCAAAUUUGAGAGGAUGUUAAAGG
Molecule: long non-coding RNA, 8569 nt
Filed under: Cicer arietinum (chickpea)
Lineage: Eukaryota; Viridiplantae; Streptophyta; Magnoliopsida; Fabales; Fabaceae
Description: long non-coding RNA (CARI_LNC001361)
Source: RNAcentral